CACGCUCUGUCUCUCUCUGUCUCAAAAAUAAAUAAACGUUAGAAUGAUUUAUUAAAAAAAAUAAAUGCAAUUUAAAGAAUACUGUUUAUUUGCAUUCUGGUAAAUACCUUCACAUGCACGACCUCAAGGACGAUCCGUGGGAGAAGUGGUGCCGUACCUAAUUUACAGAUGAGGAAAACAGAGGUUCAAAUGACUUGCAAAGGAGUUUAACCUUCCAGCCGGAAAUCUGAACCAAGAUCCUGGUUUGUAGGUGAAUGUGUGGGGACCAGCACGUUAGGAAUGGACUUCAGAAUUUAUUUCCGAAGUUAGCGGUUUGUCCCUUUCUGGAGCCCUGCCACAUCUGAGGAUGUGUCUUAGACCCUCUCUGCAUCCAUAUCAUUUGGGUGGGAUUGACUUCAUUCCACUCGUCCAAGAUUGUGCACGUGACCUGCACACGGGCUCACCGCGCGUCCCAUUGCUGUAGCACUCUGAUGAUUAUUUCUGGGAUGAAUUAUGACCCUAGGUGGUCCAUGGGAGUGAGCACUGGGGCUUUUUUUCCGGUGCAAAGAGGGACCCGAUCUUCUUUGAGUAUAACAGCAGCAAGGAUGACAGAAGCCUCGACCUGCUAAGAACCACCACAGGAAUCCCAAGAAUAAAGCCAACACGGGAAAAAGAGCCGAGAGCUGGAGAUAGACUGUGUUCCCAUUGCUUCGCUGCAGCUCCUGGAUCCAGCCAUGCCUGAAUCUAUUCACCACAGAUUUUGGUGACACACGAGACAAUGAGUCCUCUUUUUGCCUUAUUGAGUUGGAUUUCGGACGCCUGAGGUGGUGUGGCCCUUGGGCAUUUGGAAACACCACGUGUGUCGGAGCAGAGGUCGUGACUGGAUCUCUCAGUGUAGAUUCCUUCCAUCGAACUCUCCGGGAUGCCUUGCAAUAAACUCACACAACAUUUCGGUCCCCCCCGGAGGCGACUUCGUUUGUGAAAGAGGAAGACUCACUCAUUUUUGAACCCUGUGUCUCAGGAAUGACUUUCCCACGAGAACUGAACUGCAAAGGAUGGGUGAAUUACAGCUAAAAGGUUGUCACUUGGAAAGUUUUGUUUUAAAUGAGCUAAAUUAAAGGAAUAGUCUCUCCCUUUUAAUGCGCAUAUAAAAUCACUUCACUUUCCUGGUUAACAAUGUAAGUCCCAUUCUCAUUAUCAGAAUCAUAAAAAUGAGUGAGGUGACAGUUUCUUUUUAAAAUGCAAAGUGUUAUAUGCCAGGAGUUAUGAGAAAUUAGCUGGCGAUUCUCCCUCAGUGCAGGUAUAAAAGGGUGACUUUCUUUCUUUUGGUCUUUUCCACGAUUACGAUCCAAUUUUCUUGCCUUAAAAACAGGAAAGGUUACGUGUACCAUCAGCCAAAGAAAACAAGAAGCCACACACAAACUCCUGCCUUUUUACGGAAACAAAGGCAGUGAGCUUUCAAAAGGAAAGUUACAAAUGCAAUGAUAGGAAGACCAUGUGACACACAUUAAUUCAAAAGGGCCCCUUUAUUGGAUUGCGAUCUGAUUGUGUUUACAAAUAUAUAGCCAGAAGGCUUUUAAUUUGGGGGCAAUUUCAUUGUUCAUAGAUAUAUAUCCAGCUACAGAUAUAUAUCUAUGAAAUUAUGUGCUUAUGUGUUUUAAAUGAGAUACAGUUCCUCUCCUUUAAUGCAAUAAUGUUUCCUAUUUUAUGAUCUACAGUUGCCCAAAGUUGGGGCAAUUUUAUAACAAUCUGAUUUGAAAUAUCAUAAUAGAUGAAAGAUGUAAAUACUGUGAUGUUUAGAGACCCGGUUGGAAGUUGAAUUCAUUGGGAUUUAGGUAAACCACCGGAGCGAACAAGGACAGACUUGAUUAAAAUCGCACGGAUUGGGUUCCUCUUGCAAUUCCAGCCACUUCUCGCCUCCUUGCUGUUUAUUUUUCUUUUAAGCCCGAGCUCAAUAAAUAAACCCAGCUAACAAUUAAAAAGUCCUCAAAUGAUUCUAGAUGGAAAAAUUCAAAAAUAGCCUGGCUGGCACUGCUUUUGCUGUGGAGUUUGAUUAAAUUCUCUAAUUGCAUUCGAACGGGCGGGGAAGAUCACAAUGUGUUGGUGCUUUUAGCAUGAGCCGCCGAUGAAAAACUUCAAUUACCACUAAAAAUGGAAAAUGGUCAUAAUAGAUAAAUGCUCUUCCUAUUUGAGAGCAGCCUUUUAAAAAUUACGUAACUGGUUUGGGUGAGAUACUAUUCUAUUUCCUCUUGUGCUCUGCCGAUCGAUGUAUGCCUUCCCUCCAGGCUAGGAACCCCUCCGUCCUCUGGGGGAGGCCUUUUGCCAGCAGCUGGCUUGGCUAAGGCAGCCCUUUUCCUGGCCAGAGACUGAAUGUCCUCCGGCAGAGAGGAUGGAAUCUGAAGGUUUCUUGGAUAGAAGGGCGAACAAAGACCGAGGAAGGUGGGUACCUUUGGAGCAGCCCUGCGGUCUACUGUUGACUUGGACCCCGCUGGGGAAGGUGGGUGAAUUAGGGGCGGGGCAGAGGGCAGAAAAAAUUGCCAGAGAGUUGCCAAUUUUCAAGUCCCGCUUUAAGCCAAAUCUGCCCCCAUCUUCUGGAAAAAUGUUUUGCUCGUCACAUCGGGCUCGGCUCAAACGUUACCUCCUCCAGGAAGUCCUCCCCCCACCAUCUCCUCUGUGCUCCCAGGAUGCUGUGUACCGUCUACUGUGGCACGGUCUGCAUUUGAUGGGAUCCUGGUCCCGACCACCUCUUGCCUCCCCUUUGCCCCCUUGGGAGCUCCCCAGGGCCAGAGCCCAUAUCUGGGUAUUCUGUGUCCAGCCGUGUAGUUCCCUGGGGCUGUUCAUGCCACCCCUUCUGUGUCUCUCCCCCUCACCGGCAGGCAGGAGCUUUAGAAUCACAUAGACCCUGACUCCUGUGCUGCCCAUUUUUAGCUGGGCGAUGUCUUCACCCUUCAUGCCUUGGCUUCCCCAUCUGCAGAAUGAAGGUAAGUCUAUCCACCUCCUAAAAUUGCCGAGCAAUGGAAAUAAAGGAGGUGAAGGCAGCUAGCCAGUGCUGGGAGCACCUGACAGGCUCUCAGGAGACACCAGGUUAUUUCCUUUCUGCUUCUUUUUCCUGAUUUCCCUCCUUCUACCCACUGCCAUGGUCACCGGCACUGUCACCACCCCCACUGUCACCACUCAACGAGUAAUUGCUGAGCGCUAGGCACUGCGUUGAUGGCUUUACACAGACCAUCUUAUCUACCUCUCCAGUCCUUUUUCUUCCCCUCUUUGCCCAGCCCUGGCCUCAGUUUCCCCAGCUCCUGGGCUCUCUGUAGCUUUUCAUUGCAUGGCCCCCACAGAGGGGGGUACCCAGCCCAGGCUCCUGGGGUUAAGCCUCUGCUUUUGCAGCCCAGAGACCCCCCCAAUGUCCUCUACAUCGGAGAGAAGGCUUGGUGCCUUCCCAGGAGAGGGGACAGACCAGACAGCACCACCUUGAACCACAGUGCUGCCCAGAGCACCCCUCCCCUUCGUGUCAUGUGGUCUCUGUACCCCUCCCCUGCCUAGCUCUGCUGUCCAGACACUUCAGGGGACACCUCUGCCUGAUGGUCCUGAGCCUGCCUGACGCCCUCGGCCUGUCUCGGCAGGUCCCCUGUCACCGUGGCUUCCUCCCAUCAUGCCUCAGACCUACCCGUGCCCGGCCAGGUGCGACACCUUCCCUGCAUUCCCUCCUCCAUUCUUUCCGCAACCCCCCACCUCCUCCCGCCUUUGCAGCCCUGCCUGAUGUCCCCUCUUCUUGUCCCCAUUCUGUCUCUUCUCUCCCGUUCCUCAAUGGCUGCAACCAAGCCCCUAACGUUUUAUGGCCAGUCUGUCAUUUCAGACACGCACACGACACGGCUGCUGCUCUGGAGGAGGCCGGACCUAGCGGGGAAGACAGAGCAACCACCUAGGACCACAGAACCCCGUGCGCCACGGAGAGUGGAUGAAUGCAGUGCCCCACACGUCGGUUCAUAUAACCAGAGCGCGAGGUCAGGAUGGGGCGAAGCAGCUUUGUAGAAUCGCGAGGCAGGUGCCUGGGGGAUCUUAUUCAAUAUAGGUCAACAGGAUGAUACGACAGUUCAUAAAAAGCUAAUGGGAUCUGAGGCUGCGUUACGAGGGGUUCAGAGCUUAGAUCAAGGGAGAAGGAAGCCUGCACUGCUCCCUACACCUCAGGCAUUGUGCUCACUUCAGAGUGGGGCGCGGGGGCACCAGAAGGAAAAGCAAAUUGGAGGACAGUUACAGGAAGGCGAUUAGCGGGGUCGGGGGAGGGGGGGACGCUGACAUCUGGUCACACACACAGGGGGGCAUGGCCGACGGCAGGGGAGCGCGUUUCGCCUGGAGAAGUCUGUGAUACAGUGCUGCCCGUGUCACUCCGCUGUGGCCCGAGUCAGGACGGCUGGAGAGCAAGCGGGAGGCACAUCACCAGGGAAGCCGACGUGGGCACGGGCUACUGAAGAGCCGUGGCACCAGCUGAGCGACGCUGCCAACCCUCGUUGGAGGGAGGCCCUUCCCGAACAGAGAGGAGGUGCACGAGCAGGGACCCUGCACCAGGGGACGCUGGGCAAAGGGCUGGGGUCAUGGUCACCACGUAGCCUCCUUGCCUCUCAGCCUUUCCACUGCUGGGAGCUUCGCCAGGCAAAACCAGUCUGUGCUCCUGCCCUCCUUCCCUCCCUCUGUCCUUCUGGGUGGGGACAGCCAGGGCUCGCAGCACCAGGUUGCUGACGUCCUCAAGGGCCGUGACUUUGCAGCAAGGGCCCUGGUACGUCCUGCGGGGAAAGUUUUGUCUUAGGACUUGUACUUUACUUCCUUCGCUCCUGAGUGCACGUAGCUCAGCAAAGGGAAGAUGUUGAGAGGGUUGAAUGAGCCACACAGGUUGAUGGUGCCGGAAGCCUUCAGAGGUCUGCACCUGCAGGGGAGAACGCAGGUGGGACCCUGGUGGAGGGCCUGUAACAGGCACAGAGCCCUCCUCUGGGCCAGCCCCCGAGUCUCCUCGUCUCGUCCUCUGCAUGAAUGCCCAGAAACCGAGAGUCCUGUCCUUCUCUGCCGCCCGAAUUCUAGUGUUCCCCCCCCCCCCGAUCCUUCACCUCUCCUCGGCAGCCAGAGGUCUGAAGUGGGUCCCGUUGGACUAAAACAGGGUGCCAGCAAGGCGUUGUCCCUUUGGGAGGCUCAGGGGGAGAAUCCGCCUUCUUGACCUCUCUGUUUUCUAGAAGCCACCAGGUCUCUGGUUUGUAGCGUCUUUUCCCAUCUUCAAAGCCAGCAGCAAAGGCGGCAUCUUAAAAUCGCUUUCAGAAUCUGACUCCUGUGUUGAGCCACACAGAUCAGCCAGGAUCACGUCCCCAUCUCAAGGUCCUUAACUCAGUACUAUCAGUAAAGCCCCUUUUUGCCAUCUAUGGUGAUGUGUUCGCAGGUUCUGGGGGUUAGGAUGUGGCAUCUUUAGGGCCCUUAUUCUGCCAACCACAAGAGUCCGGGAGCAUGCCCCAGUUGCCUUCUUUAAUGCCAUGGCUUUCAGCUCUCAGGGACGGGAAGGACGGACAGGCGGCUCAAGCCUGGUGUGCAAUGUGCUCUGUGAACUGGCCCCCACCGCCUUCUCCUCCUUCCUCUAGAGAAUCCACCCGCUUGAUGGGACUUGGCACUCCACAUGGCCCUCUUGUCAUCCAAGACAUUUCUCCACUGUCAUUUCUGCCCAUGAGCUGCCCCGAGGCCCUCUUCCGCCUGCAUGCAUCCUUCCAGAACUGUAGCCCCACCCAAGCCGGACCUCAGUGGCGAUCACUCCUCUGUCCUCCCCUUGGCUGCUCUAGGAAUGCUCUGGUCUUGCUCCGGGGUGCCUGCCCGACCAGUGUUCCCACUGACCUGUCCCCCAACCGUGUCCUGGGCUACUUAAGGUCACCUGAGGUCACUUCCAGAGCACACACUGGUGGCCACAGAGCAGAUCCACGUUUCUAAGUGUUGAAGUCAGCAGUGGCAGGUACUCUGGAGACCCCGAAUAAAGUGACCAGUGUGCCAUAUGCCUAUCGGCUUACGCUCCUCUUAAAUUAAGCCCCAGUAGCUCAUUACAUAAAGACCAGACUCCCCACCGUGGCGUCCCAGGACCUGUAUGACUAUGAUCUGGCUCUGUCUCUUUGUUUUCUCCAGCCUCAACCUCAGGCCAGGGUCUCCCUUGCCCCUUGGCCAGCUACCUGGGCCGUCUUAUCGUUCUUCAAGAACACCUCCACCCUCCUGGACCUUGACUUUGGCUCACACCUCUCUGCUCCUCUGUUGGCUGCCUCUGUCCCCUCCUGAUUUCACUGAUGUCGUGUAUACUCGUUCCUCAGGGAUUGCCCAGCAUGCAUUCUGUUCCUUGGGAGCCUUCCUGACCCUCCAGAUGAAGUCAGAGACACUCGCUGCUGGACGUUUGUGGCUCUGUGCACACUUCCGCACCUCCCAGUGCCUUCAUGGCACCUCACAGGGGCCCAUUACCUGGGAGUCCAUCAGGUGACCAGUGUUGAUGGAGAGGUCCUAGGACAUGGACCCUGGGAUAGGAUUUUGGAGCCAGAUCACCUGCUGACCCACUGGCAAUAAAAAGCCCAUCACUGGUAGUCGGUGCCAUAUGGGUAGACGCGGGCAUGCUGCGGCAAUGCGACGGGGGUCCUGCUCACUGUCCGAACUCCCUGAGGCCACUGUGAUCCUGGCCCCGCCUUCCCUCGGCCCAUUCCCACCACCCACUUCUGCUACUUUUCAAGAGCCCUGGGAGCCAGCUACAAAAUGAGUCCUGGUGCUGUAGGCUGGACGGAGAAGGAGAGAAGGCAUUCGCUUGCUGAUGGAAAGCCCCCCGGGGAGGAGGCUGCAUGGGGCCCGCACAGCCGUAAGAGUCUGCACGCGAAAAGAGGGCAAAGGCAACAAAUUAUCUCCCCAACUUGUGGCUUUGCUGCAAAGGCCUCUGGGAAGCUCUUUCAUACGCGUCUUGCUGUUCUAGCUGACCACAUCCUGCAACUCCGCAGGCAGGACUAGACCCGAGGCGGCCAGCGGCGGGGCGCUAAGCUUGCUUCUCGUUGGAACCCACUGCUCUGUCUUAGCCGCCGGGAGAGGACGGGCCGGGGCAGUUGUGACUGUGGACUGUGCUGGGGGCUGUCCUGAAGGGGGAGGAGUUGGCCCAGCACCUUCUCGCUCCGGGGCUCUCACACCCGCGCUCUCUCGCUUGCUUCUCUCCGGAGCACUGUGAGGUGGGCAUCCAUGAAUCCCUCUGCAGAUGCCGAAGGCGGGAGAUGGCAGUCGCUGGCUCGACGACCCCGAAGCACCCUUUCUUCUUCCUCCAAACAUCUUCAUGGUUGGAUGAUCGCCGCUUACUGCCUCAGAACGUUGAGAAUGUACUGAAUGGCAAUGGUGUGAAUGUGGCCACCUCGUCUGGAGCCAAAACCCUCGAACAGGGGCCGGGUUCCUGGCCUGGCCUGGCAGGUGCAGGAUGGGACAGGGCACUCCUUGCUCUGGUUUUCUGCAUGGGACAUCUGGAGCCGGGAGGACCAGUGAGAAAACGCACGUGGGAGUUCAGCCCGGUGCCAGCCGUGCAGGCCAGGGAGCUGAUAUUCGUUAUUCUGGGGACUGGGGGCCCACGCUUCCUUUCCUUCCUCCCUGGCUGGUGGCCACUGGGAUUGGAUCAGACUACGACUGUCUUGGCGUGUUUCACAUGGCAAGAUGGGUGGGAUGCGGAUCGUGCGGUGGCGUGAGAAUAGGCACCCAGGAGUGGCUUACGCUGUCUCGAUUCUGCUAGAUGGGGAAGUGCGACCUGCUCUGUGCUGUUCACCCUGGGGAGGCAGAGCUACAGGUGGUCGGGGGAGCCUAGAAGAAGGUACUUGCCCAUAGGCUGAACCGGUUUCCCGGUUGAGACCUCGCGGAACUUGUUGGAGGCCAUUCAGCAGAGACAGGCUUGAGGUCUGAGCUAUCACUUCUCCAGCCUUGCCGUGUGUGUGUGUGUGUGUGUGUGUGUGCAGGUAGGAGAGAGGUAGAGUUAUGUCCUGUCUCAGCAAGGUUCUGCGGCUGCUUCUCAGCAUGGAUCUUCAAUUGCUUGCUUCUUCUUCUGUCUGUCUUCUUUCCUUUCUUGCCUCGUCUGUGCACAAUCCAUACAUUUUUCUGCAUGAAACAUCUGGUCUAUUUUCCGUCCGGCUGGGAAACACCACCUGGUUAGGGAGGGAUCUGGGCCGCCCCUGCGCGAGCUCACAGUGCUGAGAACCAGAGCAGCCGGACUGCCUGUCUGACCCGAUGCCUGCGGUCACCGGGGGGGAAGCUGAGGCACAGGGGGAAAGGAGGCACCCAAGAGCUUCAUAGCUUCUUAUGAUCUCAACAGAGGUGGGAUCUGAAGCCAGGCUUUUUUACACAGUAUUUUUUUUUUGUUUGAAAUUUGAAAAAAAUAAAAACAAUCGCCUCAAUUUCCUACCAUCCAGAAUUACCUACUUAUGCUUUUUCAUAUUUCCUUCAGUUAUUUUUUCCAUGUACAUAGUUGAACCAUUCUGCAAGUAAUGCACGAGGACACUUUAAAAACUUCAAGGACCGUACAGAUAAAUCUACAGCUGCGCGCCUCCCCGCCCCCCAGCUCUAUUCCUAUCCUGGUCCGUUUCCUUUUCCACAGAAGUGGCCGUUAUUAUGAAUUUCAUGUUCUUCCUUCCCAUCCACUUAAAAUUACGCCCAUCUCCCCCAAACUAUGUAUUACUGUUUUCGUGAUUAAACAUUUACAUAUUUACA
Molecule: long non-coding RNA, 8703 nt
Organism: Felis catus (domestic cat)
Lineage: Eukaryota; Metazoa; Chordata; Mammalia; Carnivora; Felidae
Exons: 4
Source: RefSeq, a predicted model, not a curated record